This 1104-nucleotide long non-coding RNA is filed under the name Meleagris gallopavo (turkey). RNAcentral describes it as "lncRNA (ENSMGAG00000019500.1)". The record is from RNAcentral. Lineage: Eukaryota; Metazoa; Chordata; Aves; Galliformes; Phasianidae.
UACUCCUCUCCCCUGGUGAUUAGCUGGAGCAUUGUGAGCUGAAAACCAGUGCACAGAGAAGGGAGGCAGCUCGGUGCUGGGCUGUCAGAGCGAGGACCCCUGUGACCAGAAGCUGAAGCUGGGGUUUGCAUAGUUGCUGUUGCUGGGGACCUUUGUGGUUAGAAGGAACAUGACAGAAAUUGUUGAAAGACCUGAGUGAUACUGAUCAUCACCUUCAGGGCCAGACCCUAACAGUGCUGGCAGCUGCCCUUUUCCCAGUGCUGUUACAGCACUGGGAGCUGCCCUUUUCAAGGGCAGAAGGUGUAGCAGAAAGCAUUAUUCCCAACAUGAGAGAGAUCUAGUAGAUGACUAUUGAAAUACUGUUUCUAGGAGCCCUUGCCCCUCAGGCCUGCCUGAUAUCCCUUUGACACCAAAUGUGUAUUGUAUCUGAGAGCUAUUCAGAUAAUAAUCACAGUGUACUGUUGUUCAUUUGGACCUACUGCCUGGAUGAAGAAGCUCCUGCAGAUGAUGAUUAUCACAGCCUUCUCAUAAAGGAAACUGCUGCUCGUUGGAGAAAUAGCCACUUGCUGCCUACCAGUUGCUUCAGUGUUUCCAGUCUCAUUGGUCUGUUUUACAUUAGUGGGAUUCAGGGAUUUCAAGAGCUCUUUCUGACUUGCACCAAUCACUGUGAAGAAUCAAGUCCUAUGCUGAGAAGACGACAGAUGGAUGACAGAUGAUAUUGAAGCCUACUUUAGCAGCUAUGGAGAGUUUUGUGAAUCAGACCUGCACAUGCAAGAUUAUUUGAUUGGUACUGAACAUAUUUCAGAAUUAGUUGGAAGAUUUCAAAAAAUCUUGCAAAGCAUUAGGAGUUUUGCGUGUUAUAAAUAAUGUUGGAUCUUCACAGGAAUGUUUGCAGUUACAAAAAACCAACCUCGCGGAAAAUUGACAUUUGGUAUACUUAUUAAAAAAUGGAAAUAAGCUUGAAAAUGCAGCUGAAGGUAUUCUACUCUUGUUGCUCAUGUGUCAACUCUAUGUACUAAAAAUAAAUGUGAUCUGGCUAAAAUGAAUUAAAUGAUCCAUCUCACCAGUUCCUUUUUCCUGUGGUAUAUUUCAGUGGAAAAAUAC